RNAcentral lists this ribosomal RNA (536 nucleotides) under uncultured bacterium. RNAcentral's name for it is "bacterial SSU rRNA". It matches the Rfam family "Bacterial small subunit ribosomal RNA", at positions 8 to 523 of the family's 1533-position model. The record is from RNAcentral.
AGAGUUUGAUCCUGGCUCAGAUUGAACGCUGGCGGCGUGCUUAACACAUGCAAGUCGAACGAGAAAGGGACUUCGGUCCUGAGUAGAGUGGCGCACGGGUGAGUAACGCGUAGGUAAUCUACCUCUGCAUCUGGGAUAACACUUCGAAAGGGGUGCUAAUACCGGAUACACUUAUGGAUCGCAAGAUUUAUAAGGAAAGGAGACCUCUCCUUGGAAGUUUCUGUGUAGAGAUGAGCCUGCGUCCCAUUAGCUAGUUGGCAGGGUAAGAGCCUACCAAGGCGACGAUGGGUAGCGGGUCUGAGAGGAUGAUCCGCCACACUGGAACUGAAACACGGACCAGACUCCUACGGGAGGCAGCAGUGAGGAAUAUUGGACAAUGGGCGAAAGCCUGAUCCAGCGACGCCGCGUGAGUGAUGAAGGCCUUGGGUCGUAAAGCUCUGUCAGCAGGGAAGAAUGGCCGAGCGGUUAAUACCCGUUCGGAUUGACGGUACCUGCAGAGGAAGCACCGGCUAACUCCGUGCCAGCAGCCGCGGUAA